GCGGAAGUGCUGGAAUAGGCAGACAGGCACGUUUGAGGUGCGUGUGAGUUUCUCGUGUGGGUUCAAGUCCCAUCUUCCGCACCA
Molecule: transfer RNA, 84 nt
Filed under: Angelakisella sp.
Lineage: Bacteria; Bacillati; Bacillota; Clostridia; Eubacteriales; Oscillospiraceae
Description: tRNA-Leu
Rfam family: tRNA
About the family: Transfer RNA (tRNA) molecules are approximately 80 nucleotides in length. Their secondary structure includes four short double-helical elements and three loops (D, anti-codon, and T loops).
Source: RNAcentral